This 298-nucleotide long non-coding RNA is filed under the name Capsicum annuum. Its description in RNAcentral is "long non-coding RNA (CANN_LNC009567)". Lineage: Eukaryota; Viridiplantae; Streptophyta; Magnoliopsida; Solanales; Solanaceae. The record is from RNAcentral.
GACGAACAUGUUAUUUAAGAAUAAUCUAGUAUAUAGUAAUCUAAUAUGAUCAUAUUUUGUUAUGUGUAUGAUUGAAGGGAAUAUUUUGAAAAUAGCAGUUUUAUGAAAAAUGAAUAAUUAUUUAUCUGAUGAAAUGGUAGAUUAAUUUAAAAUACUUAUUUUAUAUGCAUUUAAGCAUAUAGAAGUAGUAGAUAUAAGAAAAAUCAUAUUAGAAAAAGCAUUUGGUAAAUAUUAUAUGACUAGAAUAAAUUACAUACCACAAAUACCUAAUUACACUUACAAACACAUAUAUACCAAA